GACGAACGCUGGCGGCGUGCUUAACACAUGCAAGUCGAACGGAAAGGCCCUGCUUUUGUGGGGUGCUCGAGUGGCGAACGGGUGAGUAACACGUGAGUAACCUGCCCUUGACUUUGGGAUAACUUCAGGAAACUGGGGCUAAUACCGGAUAGGAGCUCCUGCUGCAUGGUGGGGGUUGGAAAGUUUCGGCGGUUGGGGAUGGACUCGCGGCUUAUCAGCUUGUUGGUGGGGUAGUGGCUUACAAAGGCUUUGACGGGUAGCCGGCCUGAGAGGGUGACCGGCCACAUUGGGACGGAGAUACGGCCCAGACUCCUACGGGAGGCAGCAGUGGGGAAUAUUGCACAAUGGGCGGAAGCCUGAUGCAGCAACGCCGCGUGCGGGAUGACGGCCUUCGGGUUGUAAACCGCUUUCGCCUGUGACGAAGCGUGAGUGACGGUAAUGGGUAAAGAAGCACCGGCUAACUACGUG
This 468-nucleotide ribosomal RNA is filed under the name uncultured bacterium. RNAcentral's name for it is "partial 16S ribosomal RNA". It matches the Rfam family "Bacterial small subunit ribosomal RNA", at positions 28 to 507 of the family's 1533-position model. The record is from RNAcentral.